GGUGGGGUGUCCGAGUGGCGAAGGAGCACGCCUGGAAAGUGUGUAUACGGCAACGUAUCGGGGGUUCGAAUCCCCCCCUCACCGCCA
RNAcentral lists this transfer RNA (87 nucleotides) under Escherichia coli. RNAcentral describes it as "tRNA-Ser". It matches the Rfam family "tRNA". From Rfam's summary of the family: Transfer RNA (tRNA) molecules are approximately 80 nucleotides in length. The record is from RNAcentral. Lineage: Bacteria; Pseudomonadati; Pseudomonadota; Gammaproteobacteria; Enterobacterales; Enterobacteriaceae.